RNAcentral lists this ribosomal RNA (492 nucleotides) under uncultured bacterium. RNAcentral describes it as "partial 16S ribosomal RNA". It matches the Rfam family "Bacterial small subunit ribosomal RNA", at positions 29 to 507 of the family's 1533-position model. The record is from RNAcentral.
AGUGAACGCUGGCGGUAGGCCUAACACAUGCAAGUCGAACGGCAGCACAGUAAGAGCUUGCUCUUACGGGUGGCGAGUGGCGGACGGGGGAGGUAUACAUCGGAAUCUACUUUUUCGUGUUGGAUAACGUAGGGAAACUUACGCUAAUACCGCAUACGACCUACGGGUGAAAGCAGGGGAUCUUCGGACCUUGCGCGAUUGAAUGAGCCGAUGUCGGAUUAGCUAGUUGGCGGGGUAACGGCCCACCAAGGCGACGAUGCGUAGCUGGUCUGAGAGGAUGAUCAGCGACACUGGGACUGAGACACGGUCCAGACUCCUACGGGAGGCAGCAGUGGGGAAUAUUGGACAAUGGGCGCAAGCCUGAUCCAGCCAUACCGCGUGGGUGAAGAAGGCCUUCGGGUUGUAAAGCCCUUUUGUUGGGGAAGAAAAGCAGCAGGUUAAUACCCCGCUGUGCUGACGGUACCCAAAGAAUAAGCACCGGCUAACUUCGUG